ACCAGCAGGCUAUGGGGCAUUUAUUCAGUGCCUUUAUGGUUAACCUAUAGACAUGGUGGCAAGAUGAAGCAAGCUACUUGGAAAAGAGAAUGGAGAGCAUAGAGAGACCAGACAGAAGCAGAAGAAAGUUGGCCUUUGGUACCAUUGUAACACAGCAAGAGACAAAUCUUCCAAGGAUGCCAUAUUGAGUCUUGGCAGGGGAUGGAGUGCUUCCUGCAGGAGUGUGUACUCCUUGAUGGCCUUCAAGUGUUGAGCCUGAGAUGGACACUUAAGACUUCAAGCAGAACAUCUAACAUGUAUUUUGAGAUGAUUGAACUCUGGUCAUCAGACUUGAAGGGAAGCAUCUUUACCUUUCUGGACAUGAGAAAUCUUUUGAAGAAACAUAGGAAACCAUAAUUCUGUAGAAGUUUGUUAAAAUGCAUACAUGUCUAAAAACUAUUUAAAUGUCAUUACUGUACAAUAGUGUAGUCAAUACCCAAUCUUGAAAUCAUGUGCCAACAAAUAAAGCCUCCUGUACACGUAA
Molecule: long non-coding RNA, 523 nt
Organism: Peromyscus eremicus (cactus mouse)
Lineage: Eukaryota; Metazoa; Chordata; Mammalia; Rodentia; Cricetidae
Exons: 4
Source: RefSeq, a predicted model, not a curated record